AGUGAACGCUGGCGGUAGGCCUAACACAUGCAAGUCGAACGGCAGCACAGUAAGAGCUUGCUCUUACGGGUGGCGAGUGGCGGACGGGUGAGGAAUACAUCGUAAUCUACUUUUUCGUGGGGGAUAACGUAGGGAAACUUACGCUAAUACCGCAUACGACCUACGGUUGAAAGCAUGGGAUCUUCGGACCUUGCGCGAUUGAAUGAGCCGAUGUCGGAUUAGCUAGUUGGCGGGGUAAAGGCCCACCAAGGCGACGAUCCGUAGCUGGUCUGAGAGGAUGAUCAGCCACACUGGAACUGAGACACGGUCCAGACUCCUAAGGGAGGCAGCAGUGGGGAAUAUUGGACAAUGGGCGCAAGCCUGAUCCAGCCAGACCGCGUGGGUGAAGAAGGCCUUCGGGUUGUAAAGACCUUUUGUUGGGAAAGAAAAGCAGCAGGUUAAUACCCCGCUGUUCUGACGGUACCCAAAGAAUAAGCACCGGCUAACUUCGUG
Molecule: ribosomal RNA, 492 nt
Filed under: uncultured bacterium
Lineage: Bacteria
Description: partial 16S ribosomal RNA
Rfam family: Bacterial small subunit ribosomal RNA
Source: RNAcentral